ACAUAAUUAACACGAAGAACAUGAUUAAAAUCCAAAAAUUUAAAUAGUUUGCCUUUAAAAGCAAGUAGCAGAUGAAUAGAUGCUUCAUUGAUUUUAAGGUUACAUGCAAAAUUCAAUUGCUGCAAAAAUCUAAGAGGGCACAUGCACCUUCUGUUUGAAUGGGCAUGUCACGUCUAGGGUGGAGGUAUUUAAUUUUGUUUGUAACAAAAAAAUGCAAUAAGUAAUAGUCCAAUUACAAACUAUACAUUUGUAUUAACAUAAUGUACUAACGAAGGUAGUUAAUUUCAGCAGUCUCCCAGUAAGCAAGCCAUCAGGAUGACAGCGGUCAUGGGGUUAAAAAAAUGGGUACAGUCAAAUGUGUGUCUUCCAUUAUUGAUCAAAAUAUCUACUUUUGUGCCUAUAGGACAAGAAAACAAGUCAUACAGGUUACCUCAUCAGCACCGUCACAGCUGUUCUCCAUUUUAUCCAGCCUACUUAAUGCAUUGUCUCUUGUCUUCUGGUUGCUGGAUCAUCGUCUUUUGUUUCUCAUGCUUGUUCCUGUUCUCUGUUUCAUGCCUCAGUUUGGUUUAAUGUUAGGUUGUUUUAAUAAAUGUUAUUCUUUUUUUGAAUUUUGCGAUUGCUUUCUAAUUCCUGAAACCAGUCAUGACAGCGAGAGUGAGUACAUGAUUCUACUUUAAAAUGUAGAGGACUUAAAUCUUUUAUCCAUGAAAUGACCUCCAAAUACUAUGCACAUUUCAUAUAUAAAUAUAGUGAGAUUUUCUGAAUCUAUGGUUUAAAAAUCCCAUCUACAGUUUACAUAUAGCGAUUCACACAGCCAUUUUCACCAAUGGAGGUAACACUUGGUUCAAAAAAGAGAUUAGAAGGCCUAGAAUUGUGUUAAUACGCAUUGAAUAAACAAAUUAUCUGUAAAAUCAGAUACUUAAGAGUAAUUCUGUUGAUGUUUUCUGUUGAGUCUCCAGGACUGUAUAAAUUAAAAACCUAAAGUAUACUGUUGGAUAUUAAUUUUCCGUUUUGUGUUUAAUUGUAUUUUGAAUUAACCAGAUUUACAAUUAUGUUGUGCUAAGUGUAGAAAGUCUCCUAAAAUUAAAUCUGUUUUUUUUCUUGCAGUGUGUAUAGUGGGUAAAGCAUUAAACAUCUUAAGUUUAAUGUAUCCCUAUUGAAAAAUUGAUCUAAUACCAUAAGCAUAAGCUGGUGAUCUGGUUUUAGCUGGUCUCCCAGCUUGGUUUUAGCUGGUUUUGCUGGUGUAGCAAGCUGGCUUUAUUUUGUUUUAGAUUUGGUCUCUUUUUAAGCUGGUCAGGCUGGAAGACCAGCUGACCCACCAGCUUGACCAGCUUUGCCAGGCUUUGAGGACCAGCUUAAACCAGCUACUGCCACCUUAGCUAAAACCAGUUACCAGCUUAUGCUGGUCUUAGCUGGAAUUUUCAGUAGGGAUUGUUUAUAUUUACUGAGAAACUGUUAUGAUUUUAUAUGCUUGCAUAUUUGAUCACUGUUUCUUUUUUACAUUUAUUUGUAUAAUUUUUCACAGUUUACACUAUUGCAAAGCAGCUUUACAAAAGGACACACUGUAGUACUGAUUAGUUGAUUAUUAAUAAACUUUUUUUAAUAAUGUUAAGUAAUGGUCCUUGAUUUACUUUUUAUCUGUUACAGUUAGCCAAAGUGAAAUCUUAAAUCCAUUAUCAUGUUUUAUUUAUAUCCAACAUUCAUACUAUGUUAUUUUAAUGUAUAGUGAACGAAAAUGUUUUUAAUUAAUGUAAAUUAUCUGUAGUUUGCGGUAAAAAAAAAUUAUGGCACUUGACUUGUUAUAAAAAUAUACUUAUAUUUUAUAAAAUAGAAAUAAAUGUUUUUUUUCUGAUGAAAAUAUGGGCUUUAUGUGUAUGUUGAAAUCGUUGUAAUAAUAUAAAGUAAAAAUUGCAAUAGAUUUUUGUAAAACAGAUACCUUUUGGAUAAUCGAAUUGUGCCGUUCUAAAUAAACCAGCGGUGACGCGUAUAGUUGCCAUUAUGAGGUCACCCCAUAAAGACGGGAUGUCACAGAGUGCUUGGAGUCAGUUCUAAAAGAACUCAGCCUUUUAGAAACGAUAUGAUUGAUACACGGAGCACGGGUAAACAUACGCUAAAUCCAUUGUUAUUCCAGGAGUGCUGUGAUUAGUAGAAAGGUUUUAGGCUAGUUAAAAAACUACAUUUGGGCUGCGUUGUUUUUACUUUUACAUUAGUUUCCAUCGGUGUGACGUGCAAUAAUUAAAUUAGAUUCAACCGAAUAAGAAAAACAAAGAAAUUAUGUGCGUUUCCAUCAAGUUGUUUGGGUGAAUGACGGUGGUAUUGGUAACCUAGCAACCAACAGUAAACAAAACAAUGUACGCGUGGUAAAUGGAGACAGGACUGCAUCUAGUCACGAUGGGGCAAGUUAUUAAUUUAUAAGCAGUGCAGCUUGUAAUUGCCAAACUAAAUGCUGUGCAGCACAGAAGGAGGAAUGCAGCAUUUUGAUGAAGGCACUAGCAGCAAGGAUAUUACGACGACGUCGAGCCCCAUAUAUGGUAAAGACAACUCCAGCGGAAACAGCUAGACGGUUGAGAGGAGCAGCCCACACCGUACCAUCUCCCAGUCAGGGAGAUCCCCGUCGGAGAAGCAGCAGCUGGAUCUCCUUGAUGCCUGCCCCUGUCCGUCUCUCCAGCAAAAACAGGUUUUUCUGGGAUGUCCUCCACCUCUUCCUCUGAAUGAUGACUUUGAUCCUGCAAAUCACACAAUACACACUGAACAUUUUGGAGUCCAAAUAUGAUGCCAUGUUGCUGUAAUAAUGUGUGCAUUUUUCAACAAGUAACUAAUAAAUGAUAACUUCUGCAUAGAUGUGGUAUUUCAUUUUUGUUUUAUGAAAAUGCAAUCUUUUGCAUUCAUUCCUGUGACAUUUA
Non-coding RNA from Misgurnus anguillicaudatus (oriental weatherfish), 2903 nucleotides. NCBI's taxonomy places the organism in Eukaryota, Metazoa, Chordata, Actinopteri, Cypriniformes, Cobitidae. The record is from RefSeq and is a predicted model, not a curated record.